Drosophila innubila is the source of this 743-nucleotide long non-coding RNA. RefSeq lists it as uncharacterized. Lineage: Eukaryota; Metazoa; Arthropoda; Insecta; Diptera; Drosophilidae. The record is from RefSeq and is a predicted model, not a curated record. The transcript has 2 exons.
GUGUUCCGGUUUCGGGUUGUGCUGUUAGCUGCCUUUUCCUGCACAGAGCUAAGCAGAGUUCAGCGGAGUCUCGCGUCUCGGUCCUGCCUGUGCCUGUGACUUAGACUCUGUGACAGUGUGUUUGGCAUUGGCAUGUGAGUGUGCGUGCUUUUCCAUUUGUAUGUGCCAUUUUGCGUAUGCGUAUGCGUAUGCGAGUGUGUGUGAGUGUGAGUGUCUUGUCUGUCGCUAACGGUGCGCGCGCGAUUGAGACAGUCUUUGUGUGCGUGCGUGUAUGAGUAUGUGUCAGUUUGUGUGUCUGUGUAGGAGCCAGUGUGACCAUAUGUAUGUGCAUUUAUUGAGCACCACAAUACUAAUACUAAUACAUUAGCAUACACAUACGACAUGGCAACAUUUAAGCGCACAGCAGGAUGCUCGAAGGCAGAUAUGACCCACUAGCAGCCUAAAUAUGUACAAUUCAAACCAACGGCAAAUAAUGGACGUUUUCUCGAAAUAAAAGUCUAAAUAAUCAACAUUAAAAAAAUAUUUGUUUAAUGCUAAGCAAUAUUUUUAUGAUUGAGUGAGCAGCACCGAAAAAUCGGAUUUGUGCUUGUGAAACUUAACAAAAGACAACCAAGGAUUAUUAUUAGAAGUGUGUACAAAAAUGGAAAAAAUCAUGGAAGAAUAACUGUUACUGAAGCAAUUUAAAAUAGGCUUAAUACAAAAUAAAUUUGUAGGCAGCACAAACUUAACUAAAACUAUCGAAA